This is a long non-coding RNA of Alexandromys fortis (reed vole), 7425 nucleotides long. RefSeq lists it as uncharacterized. The transcript is spliced from 4 exons. Lineage: Eukaryota; Metazoa; Chordata; Mammalia; Rodentia; Cricetidae. The record is from RefSeq and is a predicted model, not a curated record.
CGCCAGGGGAGGUCUUUCAUCCUAGGCUGUGUCAGCAAAGCUCCCAGCACGUCCACAGCAGCAUCGACAAGCAAGGACCAGAUGAGAACCGCGAAGAAAUACUCGACAUUCUUGCCUCCUCGCCUGGGAUUCCAGGGAACCAUGGCGCUCCAUGAGAGCUUUGCCCCUCACUGAGAUGCUCCCUACAGGAGUGCUGGGGUAUUAAUCCUGCCACCACUGCUAAUAACACCGAUUCAGCACCAGAUGACCGCAUGCUGGUAUAUUUCCUGUCCAAGCCAAAGGCGGGCAGGAUGGGCUCCAAAGCCGAGCCCAUUGGAAGAUGCUCCCAUUCAAGGCUCUUUCUGUGCGACAAAUAGGAAAACUGAAGUCCCGCCAAGAAGGAUGGCUUUGUGGGGCCGAGGACUGAAGGCAGAGUCUCACAGCGGAUUCCAGGUUGACUUCAAACUCAUUAUGUCGUCUGGACUACCCACACUAGCUUCAGACUCAUAGCAAUCCUCCUGCCUCAGCCUGCCCAUUGCUGGGAUUCCAAGAGACGCCUUUCUAAGUCUCUUGUUCUAUAGGUGCCCAGGGUACCCCUUCUAGAGAGGGUCAGGGUACAGGCUCCCACUGACUAAAUGUUGUAGUUCUUUUGGCUGUGUGCUGGGGGGGGGGCAUUUGAUAACUGGGUCUUUCCAUCACAGUGGUGUGUGCGUUCAUGGGUGAGUUCAUGUGCAUGUGCGUGUGUGUGUUCAUCCUUGUUCACAUCCUAUGCCUCUGAACCUGAUAGGCUGGUGCUGUCUGGGACACGGCUGUGGAAUUUACAAGUGCAGGUGGGACUUCCAUCUGUCUGCAGGCGAUCCGGCUCCAGGGACACGCCCCGUUCUGGGUGUCUAAGAGUGUACCGACCUAGUGUGUGUUGGUGCCUAGGCUGGCUGCAGUUUGUCAGAAGUAGUGGUUUCAGGCUGAGAGUGGGUGGGUGCUGAAGGCCCUAUAGAGUGUUUGUGAGGGCAGGGUUGGUAGCUGGCUGAUCACAGACUGUUCUGCAAGCGUGGGGUGGCCGGUCAAGGCUGUGCCUCCUAGCGGGUUCUGGGUAGCAUCUCAGAGAGGAAGUGUCUUGAGGAGUAAACCACCUCCCCCCACACACCCAGAAAGCUUCCAGAAUAUCCCUGAAAGCUCAGGUUCCCUUCCCCAGUGACUCACAGCAGGCUCUCAUUCCCCGGGAGAGAUCACGAUUCAGCUAAUUCUUUCUCAGUUCCAUUCACCUGAGCUGACUAAGCAAGAGCCACAGGCGGGGUAGAGACUGGGGGAUACUCAUGACGGUGGCAGUCAUUCCUAAACCACCCAGCCGGCCUUGCUUCAGCUUCUGUCCACCUUCCUGCCUUGGCCUGGCCAUACCUGACCUGAUCAGUCAUGCCUCGGCCCCUCCCCCUCAGUUUGCUACACAGUUGCAGCAUCCAGGCUUCGCUCCUCUGAACUCACUUAGAUGGUUUUGUUUUUAUUUGGGGGGCUGAGGGCUGGCACCCACGACCUCAGCUCUAUAAAGCACAGGAUUUCCCACUAAACUAUAUAAAUCCCUACUGAACUUCAUUUUACUGUCUGCUAGCUUCCAGCUUUGGAAGGCCCACAGAGGAUCAGGAAACCGAGAGUUUCUCUAGAGCAGAUCCUAUACAAUCCAUUUGUCCCUGGGGCUCUUGGCUCCUCAGUCCUAAGAGAUAAAGUAGGGGGUACUGGGAGAAGUUCUAGAUUCCUAGGGGAUUCUGCACAGGGAUGCCCAUCCAACCUGUGGGGGUGCUAAUGGGGGUCACAGGGCUAGGAGGGAGAGUAGGGGGAGCUGGGGAGGAGAGGGAGUAGGAUGGAGAUGGGGUUGUAGAGACUGUGGCAAAGUUGAGGAUGGGGAGAGAACAUGGAAAAGAAUGGGUUGAGCUGCGGCUGCUGCACGUGAAGAUAAGGGGAGUCCAGGUGUCACAGCUGCACCUGUAACCCCAGCAUGCAGGAGACUGACACAGCAGUACCUCCAGCUCAAGUCAAGCCUGCGGUAAGGAGAGCUGAUAAAAGGUUUAGGGCUGGGAUGAUAAAGGAGGCAGGGACCAAGGCAGGCUGGAAGGGCUAGGGGCCCAACCUACUGAGGGACCAUCUGAUGGGUGCUUCUGGGAUGCACUCUCAGAGGCCAGCAUAUCUUUCCCCUGCUCUGAGCCUGCUGCCAGUCCCAGUCCACCUCAUUCACCCCGGAUCGAUGCUGGCCUGUCCUCCCCAGGAAACCAUGCCGGGGUUACAUAGGCUGGUAUAGUUCAAUUUAAAAUACUGAACCGUUUCCCCAAAUUCACGAUCUCCCAUUGUGGGAGCCUGGCAGGCUGCAGCAGGGAUGGUGGCCUCUGUCCUCAUCCUCUCUAUCGGUUCGGUAUGGGGAACCAAAAGUGGCCCAUAAGCUAGGCACACCUUUAACUCCAGUACUGAGAAGGCUGAGGCGGCAGGAUCAUUGUGAGUUCAAGGCUAACUUGAGCUAGAUAGGGAGCUCCUGUCUCAAAAAACAAAGAGAUGGCCCUGGUUUCAAUAGACUAUGGUGCGGGAGAGAAUGGCAGGAUGCAGCAGGCAUUGACGUUCCCAGGACUUUUUUAUGCGACUGAGGAACAGGCGCUAGCUAUGUGUAGACUCAGGGCAGGUAGUGGGGCGUUUGCUGGUCCCUGGAGACCAGGUUCAACUCAAGCUAGAAGGAGGCGGGAGAGUUAGACAGCAGAAAAGGCUCUAAGUAGGAUGCCCUGUGGCUUUCUUAGAUGGUGGAAGGGACUUUCCAUGGGGGCCAAAGGAAGGGUUUCCCUGGAGCAAAAGAUGGCGUGUGACAGAAAGCGUGUGCCACGAGGGGCUUUUUCUUUUGUCUGUAACUGUCCAAGGUUUAUUUCUCAUGAAGGGCAAUAAAGCUGUCAGUUGGAGGAAGUGUGGGGAUCUAUGACACAGAUGAAGAGCGCAGUGGUCCCUCAUGGCCCCUAACCUUUCCAUUUCCUUGCUUUUCCUUGGCUCAUUCACUAGUCCAGAGGAUUUCUGGGCUCCCUAAACCCCUGGGAACUAAAGUCCUCUGAGAACUCCCUGGCAUUCCCGGGAGAACAGGUUCCUGGCCCGGAGUGAGGCACGAGGCCUGGGGGUGCAGCGUGCCUCGGCAGGCCUCCCAGCCGGGAGCUGAGCUCGGCAUAGGCUGCCCGGGCGGGGCUGGGUGGAGAGCUGGGAGGGCAAGUGCCCCUCCCCAUGGCAUCUUCACCCCUGAGGUUCCUCCUCAACCCAGGGCAGCACUUGGGCCCUCCAUUCUUCCCCAGGACCCAGCUCAGUUGUCUUAGCUGGGCUCACCAUCAGCCCUUCCCAGGGCCAAGAGAGAGAAGAGGCAGGCAAGAUAGGCUGCCCCGCCUCAUCCCGGGGCUGCCCUUAGACUACGGCAUCCAGUCAGAUUCUGUGAGUCAGGACGGAAAGGGGGCUCUAUCCAAGCCCUGUGGGAUAGGACUAGAGUUCCCUGCCACCCUCUCUACUCCCAGGGCUCAUCCAUCAAUUCAGGGGAACAGGAUUUCAUCAGUAACAGAAAGAGAAGGACCUGGGGAAGGUAGGGAUGGACCCUGCAGCGGUAGAGACUUCAGAGAAACUGUGAGGGAAACUAUCAAAUCUCCUCCUGGAGGGACUAGAACACAGAGACUGAGCUCGGUCUGGUGUGGCACCUGCCCAGCACAGAGGUAGGGGACAGAAAAAGUGAGAUGGUGUCACAAGGGGAGGCAUCUUCUCCAUCUGGUCCUCUCUUCCUGAGCAGCUGAGCCCCAGCACUGCGCAUACCCAGGCAUGUCCCCGGAGCCUGUAGGUGCAGAGUGAAGAGGCAAACACGCCCACUUAUUACUCUAGCCUUCACCCAACCUGCUUCUUUGGAUACUGAAGGAGAGCUGGGGGGCUCCACAGCAAAUCCCAGGACUCUGUCUGGUCAGGUAGGGGGCAGAGGGCAGUCUCAGCUGCUGGAGAGGCUUUUGACUGUUCCCUGUGGGACUUCACUCUCUAGAUACCCCAGUUCUAGGUGGGGGGGUGCAUCUGUGAACUCUCUGCCUGUCUCAGAUCUGCUCACCACUCCUCUCUACUAGGGGAUCUUGAGGCAGAGAAAAGUCUCCGGCCCUCAGAGACCUGCGCCUCCAGCCCAGCAUUGCCGACUCCAAGCCACAGCACCUGUUGCCACCUGUCUGCUUCUGCACCAGGUGCAACCGUCUCCUCUUUGCAAGUCAAGCCUCCGCACGGAAUACGGAACACACAGACCCCAGCCCGGGCAUUCCAGAGAGAUGGCUAGCACAAGUCUCCAGAGCUGGGAGCCUCAUCUCCCACCCAAAGCCACUCAGUCGUUGACUGGGUAUCUGCCUGCUUGGCUUUGACCUCCAGUUUCCCAGCUAGAGUCCCUAUUGCUUCCCAGCCCAGGGUGCGUGCCACCACACAGAGCCACCACACAGAGCCAUUACACAGAGCCACCACACAGAGCCACCAUGCACAGCAGGACAGAGUCCUACCCUACAACAAGAAGGAUCAAAGUUGGAAGACCUGGGCCAGGAAACCGAGAGAGAGGAGUGUGGAGGAGGGGUCCCCCUCAGCCUCCAAGCACUCACCCUGAUCUUGAGCCUCCCUUGAAAGACAGUGAGACGCUGAGAAGCACCCAGUGCCUUCUGGGGCCCAUUAAAAAGCCAAGCCCCCUCCCCUGCUGGCCUCCACGGCUGACUUGGGCCAGGUCUCCUCUUACCUGCUCAGUGAAGCAGGUCGGCGUGGGGGCCUGGGUCUAGGGGGCCAGGAGCUCUGACUGUCUGUCAGUCCGUCAGCCCGGUUGUCCUGGGUCUGCGCUGACAUCAGGUGAGGGGAGGCAGCUGCUGGGUGAGCCAAUAAUUAUGAUAUCAGCUUCCCCUUGCCCCGAGGGGUUGCUGCCAAAAACGGGGAGAAGAGAAAGGUGACUAAGAAGCUAGUUUGCUCCUUGGCUCUUGUUUGACAGGUACUGGCUCCUGUGCCCGCCCUGGCCGCGCCCGGCCCCCCAGCCCUCCCCUCCUGCUCCAACCAGGGCCCCCAGUCUCUGCCAGCGGGCACAGCCUGUGGCUUGCGGGGGAGGGGGUGGCUCUAUGGCCCCCACCUGCACCCCAGAACAGAGAUGUCAGCCCCCACGGGUGGGGCCCAGGCCUGUUGGGACACGCACCUGUGUGUCAGGAGAGCCUAGCCGCCACAUGUGUGUUCAUGGAGUCAGUGAGGGGUUCUGGGAAGCAGCGCAUGGUUGCAGUACUGAGUCCUGUGAGGCAUAGUGUGGACCACAGUGAUUGGUACCCCUCAAGGACCUGUUGCUUUCUGGGAUAUGUCUACAAGGUUGUCUCAUCUGCUUGUUAUAUUGCCUCUGACUCCUUAUGUGUGUGGGGGUGUGCCCCCAAGUCCAUGUGCGACUUCUCCAUGUUUGUAGACUUCCUCUCUCAUUUCUCCAUGGGUCCUCCUAGGGAUUAUCUGUUCACACCUAUGUCUUCCCUGAUGUCUGUGCAUCUGAGGCUCUUAGCCCGGUACCCAGGCCUGUAUCUCUCUGCUAUGUGUCGAUGUUGAGUUUAUAGUCAUGUGUCUCUGCUCUGGGUCAUCCUGCCCCAUGUAUGGGUGUGGGUGGAGAUGGAGGUACCUAGUUCCGUGUGUCAUCACCCCCCACCAUCCCUCUUUAUGAUCUACAGGAUGGAAAUAUCUGAGUGGCUGCUGGUUCCCAGCCCCUCAGGGUCCACAGUGGGGGUGCAGUGCCUGGUGGGUCUAGGAACUAGCCACCAUGAAUCCCACCCAGUUUAGACAUGGUGCCUGUCCUUGCCUCUCCACAGUCUUUUUGGUCCCAUUUCUAUUUAAUGUCCCCUGCCUUUCUCUCCUUCCCUCCCCCUCCUCUUGCCCAGCCUCUAUGCCUAGUUGUACCACUUCCUGGAGCUAAGGGCUGGUAUGCAAUGGUAAGGCUACUACUUUGUGGGCCUGGAGAUGCAGCAGACCUUCUCAUUCACAGCAUCUCCCUCUAAAGACACAGUGGGAUUGGGGCUGGACGGUGGUUCAGGUCUUGCGGCACAAGCAAGAAUGGACUGAAAACACUUGAAGAUAUCUUGGGCCAGAGUGAACUGGAGGCAGGAGGACCUGAAUUUGGAACCCCAGAACCCAUGUAAAACCCAGGCCUGGCAGGACACACUCAUAACCCGGGGAAGACCGAGGAUCCCCUGCCAGUCGGAUUAGCCAAAACAGCAAGUUCCGGAUUCAGUGCGAGACCCUGUCUCAAAAAAAAAAAAUGAAAUGGACAGUGAGUGAGAAAGACCUGUAACAUUAAUCUCUGGCCUCCACGUACAAAUACACAGGAGAGUGCCAUGUGUGUGUAUACACAUGUGCACAGACACACACACGCAUGCACACACACACACACACCAACAGAUAGCACAUCUGGAGAUAUCUUGGUCUCAGUGGAGGCUGUGCAGAGCUCAGUAGAAGGGUGCUGUCAGUGGCUGACUGCAUGGCCUUCUGGUGGUUUUUUGAGAUGUUCUUACACUGCACCCUAAAAACUCUCUGUAAUUCUCCUGCCUCAGCUCCCUGAGCUGUGGCUUCACAGGCAUUCUCUACUUUGUUGCUCAAUGGACCCAUUUGUACAUGAUGCUUAGCUGUGUGUUCUUCCACACUUGGCCCUCAAGUCUCACUUUCCUCGUCUGUGAACUCGAGGAUUGGAAGGAUUAUAAAGGUGUAUGUUCUCAGUUCCCAGGAUGACCCACGGUGAGAGCCGACAGUCAAUAAAUAUGCAUCUCCCUUCCCUACGCUAAGCCCUGAGCAUGCUUGCAUACAAGCUUGGGAAGAGGAUUUGCUUUCUGGGGUUAGGCUGGAGGAGCUGAGUCAAUUCACCUUUCUCUAGGGAAAAAAGUGCCUUUUCCUUAAAGGGAAUGGUUUUAAGGGGAGCCCUGUUCCCUUACAGCUAAUGGUGAAGGAGACUGUCUUGUGUGUUUGGGAAUUGUUUGCUCUGAUGUGUUCAGGGUUGAUUGUCUUUUCUAGACUUGCAAAGUAUUUCUGUAUAGAUAUUUUAGAAAUGGAGAACCAGGAAAGUUAUGGGUGGAGCUCUACCACCUUGGCUAUCCAGUGCAGUAAGAGAAGCAGGGGGAACGGGGGUACCAACAAAAGCCAGUAAAGACACUGCUGCCAAACCCCAAGACCUGAGCUCAAUCCCUGGCACCUGAGUCAUGAAAGGAGACAGCUGACUGACUACUGAAAGUGUCCUCUGCCCUUCACACGUAUGCUGUGGCAUGAGGCUUCUUCCUUUCUCCAAACAAAUAACUAAAUGUAAUAAAAUAUUUUUAAGGAAAAAAAAAAGGGGGGGCUGGAGAGAUGGCUCAGAGGUUAAGAGCAUUGCCUGCUCUUCCAAAGGUCCUGAGUUCAAUUCCCAGCAACCACAUGGUGGCUCACAGCCAUCUGUAAUGG